GUCGACGUACUUCAUAGGAUCAUUUCCAUAGGUCGCGUCCCUCUUUGACUCUUCAAAAGAGCCACUGAAUCCAACUUGGUUGAUGAGUGAGAUUACCCUUAUACCCUCAAAGUGAGAUAAUAACAUGAAAUUUUUUGCUUGACCGUGAUUCUUUGCAAUCUGGCCAUCUACUUAUAAUGUUUUGCCUUUAACUUUUUUUUGAUGCUAACCUANUCAUAGGUGAUGCAUUUAAUAUUUAUAAAGGAGCGAUGAUCUUUACCCUUUUCAUUGUGCCUUCUAGGAGGAUUUUGAAUUGGGUGGGUAUAAGUGGCUGUCUGACANGU
Molecule: small nucleolar RNA, 323 nt
Filed under: Candida albicans
Lineage: Eukaryota; Fungi; Ascomycota; Pichiomycetes; Serinales; Debaryomycetaceae
Description: Fungal small nucleolar RNA U3
Rfam family: Fungal small nucleolar RNA U3
About the family: Small nucleolar RNAs (snoRNAs) are involved in the processing and modification of rRNA in the nucleolus. There are two main classes of snoRNAs: the box C/D class, and the box H/ACA class. U3 snoRNA is a member of the box C/D class.
Source: Rfam by way of RNAcentral